UACGAAGGGGGCUAGCGUUGUUCGGAAUCACUGGGCGUAAAGCGCACGUAGGCGGACUUUCAAGUCAGGGGUGAAAUCCCGGGGCUCAACCUCGGAACUGCCCUUGAUACUGUUGGUCUCGAGUCCGAUAGAGGUGGGUGGAAUUCCUAGUGUAGAGGUGAAAUUCGUAGAUAUUAGGAAGAACACCGGUGGCGAAGGCGACCCACUAGAUCGGUACUGACGCUGAGGUGCGAAAGCGUGGGGAGCAAACAGG
RNAcentral lists this ribosomal RNA (253 nucleotides) under uncultured bacterium. RNAcentral describes it as "partial 16S ribosomal RNA". It matches the Rfam family "Bacterial small subunit ribosomal RNA", at positions 524 to 776 of the family's 1533-position model. The record is from RNAcentral.